GGAGGGGUGACUGAGCGGUCGAAAGUGCCGGUCUCGAAAACCGGUGUACCGUCAUGGUACCGAGGGUUCGAAUCCCUCCCCCUCCGCCA
RNAcentral lists this transfer RNA (89 nucleotides) under Pseudomonadota bacterium. RNAcentral's name for it is "tRNA-Ser". It matches the Rfam family "tRNA". Rfam says of the family: Transfer RNA (tRNA) molecules are approximately 80 nucleotides in length. Their secondary structure includes four short double-helical elements and three loops (D, anti-codon, and T loops). Lineage: Bacteria; Pseudomonadati; Pseudomonadota. The record is from RNAcentral. RNAcentral also lists the same sequence under 1 other name.